Molecule: ribosomal RNA, 654 nt
Filed under: uncultured Staphylococcus sp.
Lineage: Bacteria; Bacillati; Bacillota; Bacilli; Caryophanales; Staphylococcaceae
Description: bacterial SSU rRNA
Rfam family: Bacterial small subunit ribosomal RNA
Source: RNAcentral
AAGUCGAGCGAACAGACGAGGAGCUUGCUCCUCUGACGUUAGCGGCGGACGGGUGAGUAACACGUGGAUAACCUACCUAUAAGACUGGGAUAACUUCGGGAAACCGGAGCUAAUACCGGAUAAUAUAUUGAACCGCAUGGUUCAAUAGUGAAAGACGGUUUUGCUGUCACUUAUAGAUGGAUCCGCGCCGCAUUAGCUAGUUGGUAAGGUAACGGCUUACCAAGGCAACGAUGCGUAGCCGACCUGAGAGGGUGAUCGGCCACACUGGAACUGAGACACGGUCCAGACUCCUACGGGAGGCAGCAGUAGGGAAUCUUCCGCAAUGGGCGAAAGCCUGACGGAGCAACGCCGCGUGAGUGAUGAAGGUCUUCGGAUCGUAAAACUCUGUUAUUAGGGAAGAAUAAAUGUGUAAGUAACUAUGCACGUCUUGACGGUACCUAAUCAGAAAGCCACGGCUAACUACGUGCCAGCAGCCGCGGUAAUACGUAGGUGGCAAGCGUUAUCCGGAAUUAUUGGGCGUAAAGCGCGCGUAGGCGGUUUUUUAAGUCUGAUGUGAAAGCCCACGGCUCAACCGUGGAGGGUCAUUGGAAACUGGAAAACUUGAGUGCAGAAGAGGAAGUGGAAUUCCAUGUGUAGCGGUGAAAUGCGCAGAGA